AUCAGAGUAGGAAAUAAAGCGUUAAGUGCUAGAGGGAUGGGAUGUUGCCCUUUGGACGAAAGACUUGGUUUGGUCUACGGUUUUAUUUUCGCAUUCGCUGCA
Molecule: non-coding RNA, 102 nt
Filed under: Enterococcus hermanniensis
Lineage: Bacteria; Bacillati; Bacillota; Bacilli; Lactobacillales; Enterococcaceae
Description: THF-I sequence
Rfam family: THF (Tetrahydrofolate) riboswitch aptamer
About the family: THF riboswitch presents a pseudoknot that joins P1-P2 and the loop of P3 and two THF binding.
Source: Rfam by way of RNAcentral